GAAGGUAGUGAGUUACCUCAACCGAUUGUUCGCAGUCAGUUACAGAUCAAACCCCUUGUUCAGCUCUUUCCACCCUUCUCACUACUGCACUC
Molecule: small RNA, 92 nt
Filed under: Gorilla gorilla gorilla (western lowland gorilla)
Lineage: Eukaryota; Metazoa; Chordata; Mammalia; Primates; Hominidae
Also listed under: 1 other name
Description: Y RNA (ENSGGOG00000032607.2)
Source: RNAcentral